GCGGUGCUCUUCAUUGAGUGUCGAGGUGGGCCGGCACGUUUACUUUGAACAAAUCUGAGUGCUUAAAGCAGGCCAAGGUGCCUGAAAGGUAGUGCAUGGAAUAAUGGAAAAGGACCUCGGUUCUAUUUUUGUUGGUUUUCGGAACCAGAGGUAAUGAUAAAUGGAGGCAGGCGGGGGCAUUUGUAUUGCAACGUUAGAGGUGAAAUUCUUGGAUCGUUGCAAGACAGACCGCAGCGAAAGCAUUUGCCAAGGAUGCUCUCGUUAAUCAAGAACGAAAGUUAGAGGUUCGAAGGCGAUCAGAUACCGCCCUAGUUCUAACCAUAAACUUAUGCCAGCUAGCGAUCUCGCAGUGCUCCAUUGAUGGCCUGCGAGGCAGCUUCCGGGAAACCAAAGCUUUUGGGUUCCGGGGGAAGUAUGGUUGCAAAGCUGAAACUUAAAGGAAUUGACGGAAGGGCACCACCAGGAGUGGAGCCUGCGGCUUAAUUUGACUCAACACGGGAAACCUCACCAGGCCCAGACACUGGAAGGAUUGACAGAUUGAGAGCUCUUUCUUGAUUCAGUGGGUGGUGGUGCAUGGCCGUUCUUAGUUGGUGGAGCGAUUUGUCUGCUUAAUUGCGAUAACGAACGAGACUCUAGCCUGCUAAAUAGUCGUUUCCGGCUUCCUUUGUGCAGCCGGCGAAGACAAAUCUUCUUAGAGGGACAGGCGGCUUUUAGUCGCACGAGAUUGAGCAAUAACAGGUCUGUGAUGCCCUUAGAUGUUCUGGGCCGCACGCGCGCUACAAUGGAGGUAUCAACGUGUCCUCCCUGGCCGAAAGGUCCGGGUAACCCGCUGAACCACCUCCGUGCUUGGGAUUGGGGCUUGAAAUUGUUCCCCAUGAACGAGGAAUUCCCAGUAAAGGCGUGUCAUUAGCACGCCUUGAUUACGUCCCUGCCCUUUGUACACACCGCCCGUCGCUACUACCGAUUGAAUGAUUUAGUGAGGUCUUCGGACUGGCGCGCGGUGAUCUCUCGGGAUCGCCGAUGUCGCCGGAAAGAUGCCCAAACUUGCUCA
RNAcentral lists this ribosomal RNA (1051 nucleotides) under Anaphothrips beijingensis. RNAcentral's name for it is "SSU rRNA". It matches the Rfam family "Eukaryotic small subunit ribosomal RNA", at positions 713 to 1771 of the family's 1831-position model. The record is from RNAcentral. Lineage: Eukaryota; Metazoa; Arthropoda; Insecta; Thysanoptera; Thripidae.